Molecule: unclassified non-coding RNA, 221 nt
Filed under: Glomeraceae sp.
Lineage: Eukaryota; Fungi; Glomeromycota; Glomeromycetes; Glomerales; Glomeraceae
Description: partial contains 5.8S ribosomal RNA and internal transcribed spacer 2
Rfam family: 5.8S ribosomal RNA (bases 1-72)
Source: RNAcentral
GUGAAUCAUCGAAUCUUUGAACGCAAAUUGCACUCUCCGGUUUUCCGGGAGAGUAUGCCUGUUUGAGGGUCAGCCUAAAAAAAAUCGACAUUGUUGCUGUUAUUUAAUGGUGACUUUCGUCGGAGAUUGGGUUAUCUUAAACCUUUUUUUUUUUUGUUUUAAGCGACUUAAAAUUUUUUUUACGAUUUUUACGAACGUUUUUAAGAAUUCCUUUUACUUUC